This 253-nucleotide ribosomal RNA is filed under the name uncultured bacterium. Its description in RNAcentral is "partial 16S ribosomal RNA". It matches the Rfam family "Bacterial small subunit ribosomal RNA", at positions 524 to 776 of the family's 1533-position model. The record is from RNAcentral.
UACGUAGGGUGCGAGCGUUAAUCGGAAUUACUGGGCGUAAAGUGUGCGCAGGCGGCUUCGCAAGUCGAGUGUGAAAUCCCCGAGCUUAACUUGGGAAUUGCGCUCGAAACUACGGAGCUGGAGUGUGGCAGAGGAAGGUGGAAUUCCUGGUGUAGCGGUGAAAUGCGCAGAUAUCAGGAGGAACACCAAUGGCGAAGGCAGCUCGCUGGGACGUGACUGACGCUGAGACGCGAAAGCGUGGGGAGCAAACAGG